AACGAACGCUGGCGGCAUGCCUAACACAUGCAAGUCGAACGAGACCUUCGGGUCUAGUGGCGCACGGGUGCGUAACGCGUGGGAACCUGCCCUUAGGUUCGGAAUAACUCCCCGAAAGGGGUGCUAAUACCGGAUAAUGUCUUCGGACCAAAGAUUUAUCGCCUUUGGAUGGGCCCGCGUUGUAUUAGCUAGUUGGUAGGGUAAACGCCUACCAAGGCGACGAUCCAUAGCUGGUCUGAGAGGAUGCUCAGCCACACUGGGACUGAGACACGGCCCAGACUCCUACGGGAGGCAGCAGUGGGGACUAUUGGACAAUGGGCGAAAGCCUGCUCCAGCAAUGCCGCGUGAGUGAUGAAGGCCUUAGGGUUGUAAAGCUCUUUUACCCGGGAUGAUAAUGACAGUACCGGGAGAAUAAGCUCCGGCUAACUCCGUG
This 433-nucleotide ribosomal RNA is filed under the name uncultured bacterium. RNAcentral describes it as "partial 16S ribosomal RNA". It matches the Rfam family "Bacterial small subunit ribosomal RNA", at positions 29 to 507 of the family's 1533-position model. The record is from RNAcentral.